Molecule: ribosomal RNA, 328 nt
Filed under: uncultured Bacillota bacterium
Lineage: Bacteria; Bacillati; Bacillota
Description: bacterial SSU rRNA
Rfam family: Bacterial small subunit ribosomal RNA
Source: RNAcentral
GACGAACGCUGGCGGCGUGCCUAAUACAUGCAAGUCGAGCGUAGUUUAUUAAUAGCUUGCUAUUAAUAAACCAAGCGGCGGACGGGUGAGUAACGCGUGGGCAAUCUGCCCUCUAGCCUGGGAUAACAGUUCGAAAGGACUGCUAACACCGGAUAUGCUCACAACCCGGCAUCGGGAAGUGAGGAAAGUUUACACUAGAGGAUGAGCCCGCGUCCCAUUAGCUAGUUGGUGAGGUAAUGGCCCACCAAGGCGACGAUGGGUAGCCGACCUGAGAGGGUGAUCGGCCACACUGGGACUGAGACACGGCCCAGACUCCUACGGGUGGCUG